This 3078-nucleotide ribosomal RNA is filed under the name Salmonella enterica subsp. enterica serovar Infantis. Its description in RNAcentral is "bacterial LSU rRNA". It matches the Rfam family "Bacterial large subunit ribosomal RNA". Lineage: Bacteria; Pseudomonadati; Pseudomonadota; Gammaproteobacteria; Enterobacterales; Enterobacteriaceae. The record is from RNAcentral.
ACUAAGCGUACACGGUGGAUGCCCUGGCAGUCAGAGGCGAUGAAGGACGUGCUAAUCUGCGAUAAGCGCCGGUAAGGUGAUAUGAACCGUUAUAACCGGCGAUUUCCGAAUGGGGAAACCCAGUGUGAUUCGUCACACUAUCAUUAACUGAAUCCAUAGGUUAAUGAGGCGAACCGGGGGAACUGAAACAUCUAAGUACCCCGAGGAAAAGAAAUCAACCGAGAUUCCCCCAGUAGCGGCGAGCGAACGGGGAGGAGCCCAGAGCCUGAAUCAGCAUGUGUGUUAGUGGAAGCGUCUGGAAAGGCGCGCGAUACAGGGUGACAGCCCCGUACACAAAAGCGCAUGUGCUGUGAGCUCGAUGAGUAGGGCGGGACACGUGGUAUCCUGUCUGAAUAUGGGGGGACCAUCCUCCAAGGCUAAAUACUCCUGACUGACCGAUAGUGAACCAGUACCGUGAGGGAAAGGCGAAAAGAACCCCGGCGAGGGGAGUGAAAAAGAACCUGAAACCGUGUACGUACAAGCAGUGGGAGCCCCACCACCAAAGCAUUCUCUGGUGUUGAAGGCCCUGCAAAGCAGCAUCGCGGUGGCGGAGCGUCGUUUGCGACGCCCAACACACAAAACAAGCGGUGAGUGCUUUGGGGUGGGGUGACUGCGUACCUUUUGUAUAAUGGGUCAGCGACUUAUAUUCUGUAGCAAGGUUAACCGAAUAGGGGAGCCGGAGGGAAACCGAGUCUUAAUUGGGCGUUAAGUUGCAGGGUAUAGACCCGAAACCCGGUGAUCUAGCCAUGGGCAGGUUGAAGGUUGGGUAACACUAACUGGAGGACCGAACCGACUAAUGUUGAAAAAUUAGCGGAUGACCUGUGGCUGGGGGUGAAAGGCCAAUCAAACCGGGAGAUAGCUGGUUCUCCCCGAAAGCUAUUUAGGUAGCGCCUCGUGAAUUCAUCUCCGGGGGUAGAGCACUGUUUCGGCUAGGGGGCCAUCCCGGCUUACCAACCCGAUGCAAACUGCGAAUACCGGAGAAUGUUAUCACGGGAGACACACGGCGGGUGCUAACGUCCGUCGUGAAGAGGGAAACAACCCAGACCGCCAGCUAAGGUCCCAAAGUCAUGGUUAAGUGGGAAACGAUGUGGGAAGGCCCAGACAGCCAGGAUGUUGGCUUAGAAGCAGCCAUCAUUUAAAGAAAGCGUAAUAGCUCACUGGUCGAGUCGGCCUGCGCGGAAGAUGUAACGGGGCUAAACCAUGCACCGAAGCUGCGGCAGCGAACGUAUCACUUAAAGCGAUUCAGCGGGUUACGAUUGACGGAGCGAAGCGACGUCAAAGCGUAUACAAAGUCGAGUCGGUUUAAGGAUACGUUCGUUGGGUAGGGGAGCGUUCUGUAAGCCUGCGAAGGUGGCCUGUGAGGGUUGCUGGAGGUAUCAGAAGUGCGAAUGCUGACAUAAGUAACGAUAAAGCGGGUGAAAAGCCCGCUCGCCGGAAGACCAAGGGUUCCUGUCCAACGUUAAUCGGGGCAGGGUGAGUCGACCCCUAAGGCGAGGCCGAAAGGCGUAGUCGAUGGGAAACGGGUUAAUAUUCCCGUACUUGGUGUUACUGCGAAGGGGGGACGGAGAAGGCUAUGUUGGCCGGGCGACGGUUGUCCCGGUUUAAGCGUGUAGGUGUGUGUUCCAGGUAAAUCCGGUUCACUUUAACACUGAGGCGUGACGACGAGGCACUACGGUGCUGAAGCAACAAAUGCCCUGCUUCCAGGAAAAGCCUCUAAGCAUCAGGUAACAUCAAAUCGUACCCCAAACCGACACAGGUGGUCAGGUAGAGAAUACCAAGGCGCUUGAGAGAACUCGGGUGAAGGAACUAGGCAAAAUGGUGCCGUAACUUCGGGAGAAGGCACGCUGACACGUAGGUGAAGUGAUUUACUCAUGGAGCUGAAGUCAGUCGAAGAUACCAGCUGGCUGCAACUGUUUAUUAAAAACACAGCACUGUGCAAACACGAAAGUGGACGUAUACGGUGUGACGCCUGCCCGGUGCCGGAAGGUUAAUUGAUGGGGUCAGCGCAAGCGAAGCUCCUGAUCGAAGCCCCGGUAAACGGCGGCCGUAACUAUAACGGUCCUAAGGUAGCGAAAUUCCUUGUCGGGUAAGUUCCGACCUGCACGAAUGGCGUAAUGAUGGCCAGGCUGUCUCCACCCGAGACUCAGUGAAAUUGAACUCGCUGUGAAGAUGCAGUGUACCCGCGGCAAGACGGAAAGACCCCGUGAACCUUUACUAUAGCUUGACACUGAACAUUGAGCCUUGAUGUGUAGGAUAGGUGGGAGGCUUUGAAGCGUGGACGCCAGUCUGCGUGGAGCCGACCUUGAAAUACCACCCUUUAAUGUUUGAUGUUCUAACGUGGACCCGUAAUCCGGGUUGCGGACAGUGUCUGGUGGGUAGUUUGACUGGGGCGGUCUCCUCCUAAAGAGUAACGGAGGAGCACGAAGGUUGGCUAAUCCUGGUCGGACAUCAGGAGGUUAGUGCAAUGGCAUAAGCCAGCUUGACUGCGAGCGUGACGGCGCGAGCAGGUGCGAAAGCAGGUCAUAGUGAUCCGGUGGUUCUGAAUGGAAGGGCCAUCGCUCAACGGAUAAAAGGUACUCCGGGGAUAACAGGCUGAUACCGCCCAAGAGUUCAUAUCGACGGCGGUGUUUGGCACCUCGAUGUCGGCUCAUCACAUCCUGGGGCUGAAGUAGGUCCCAAGGGUAUGGCUGUUCGCCAUUUAAAGUGGUACGCGAGCUGGGUUUAGAACGUCGUGAGACAGUUCGGUCCCUAUCUGCCGUGGGCGCUGGAGAACUGAGGGGGGCUGCUCCUAGUACGAGAGGACCGGAGUGGACGCAUCACUGGUGUUCGGGUUGUCAUGCCAAUGGCACUGCCCGGUAGCUAAAUGCGGAAGAGAUAAGUGCUGAAAGCAUCUAAGCACGAAACUUGCCCCGAGAUGAGUUCUCCCUGAGACUUAGAGUCUCCUGAAGGAACGUUGAAGACGACGACGUUGAUAGGCCGGGUGUGUAAGCGCAGCGAUGCGUUGAGCUAACCGGUACUAAUGAACCGUGAGGCUUAACC